ACUUACGGCUAUAGCAGCCUGAGCAUGCAUGAUUCUGUCUGAUGUCAGAAGCUAAGUAGGCUCAGGUUCAUUAGUACUUGAAUGGGAGACUGACUGGGUGCUGUAACCUUAGGGUGGCUGUAGCUC
Molecule: ribosomal RNA, 126 nt
Filed under: Amphilophus citrinellus (Midas cichlid)
Lineage: Eukaryota; Metazoa; Chordata; Actinopteri; Cichliformes; Cichlidae
Source: RNAcentral